AUUGAACGCUGGCGGCAGGCCUAACACAUGCAAGUCGAACGGUAACAGGAAGCAGCUUGCUGCUUCGCUGACGAGUGGCGGACGGGUGAGUAAUGUCUGGGAAACUGCCUGAUGGAGGGGGAUAACUACUGGAAACGGUAGCUAAUACCGCAUAACGUCGCAAGACCAAAGAGGGGGACCUUAGGGCCUCUUGCCAUCGGAUGUGCCCAGAUGGGAUUAGCUAGUAGGUGGGGUAACGGCUCACCUAGGCGACGAUCCCUAGCUGGUCUGAGAGGAUGACCAGCCACACUGGAACUGAGACACGGUCCAGACUCCUACGGGAGGCAGCAGUGGGGAAUAUUGCACAAUGGGCGCAAGCCUGAUGCAGCCAUGCCGCGUGUAUGAAGAAGGCCUUUGGGUUGUAAAGUACUUUCAGCGGGGAGGAAGGGAGUAAAGUUAAUACCUUUGCUCAUUGACGUUACCCGCAGAAGAAGCACCGGCUAACUCCGUG
RNAcentral lists this ribosomal RNA (490 nucleotides) under uncultured bacterium. Its description in RNAcentral is "partial 16S ribosomal RNA". It matches the Rfam family "Bacterial small subunit ribosomal RNA", at positions 30 to 507 of the family's 1533-position model. The record is from RNAcentral.